AGAUCAGCCCUGGGGUUCAGAGGGAUCCUGACAGCUACUCCUCAAGAUCCUCUCUGUUGUGAUUCAUCCCCCCGGGGCCCUACAGUUUCUCCUUCCUGACUCUUACAUUUCUUUGGAUGGCAUCAUUAUUUACCUGUCUCCUCCCAUAGUUAGGUGCCAAGCACUGUGGAUUCUGCCUCUCAGUGUCCAGACACCCAUUUUCCUUCCCACUGUUCCUUCCCCAUGGAGAAGCCUGUGGCUGGCUGACAGCAGAGAGAGAUGCUCAACUUGGAGAAGGUGUUACCUGGGCCAGGUGGGGAAGGUUUGUUUGCAGAGCAAAGAAGUGAAGCCACCUCAAGAAAGAACAGUUCAUGUGCAGGUGACCAUGUAGUUCAAGUCAUCAUUAAAUCCAAAGCUGAGCAGCCGUGAUGCUAUUGGUGGAAUUGCCCUUGACCAAGAGAAAUCCAUCUUGAUUGUCUCAAUAAUCGGCUCAAGGACCACUGAUGAUGAGGUCCUAAAUUUAAUUCCUAAAAAACCACUAAAGUUAUAGAGGCAAAAUGAGAAAGCAUAGCUCACAAAUACCUUGUGACCAAUGACUUGCCUAUUCAACGUGAAAAAGAUGAGGAUGAAGACCUUUAUUAUGAUCCACUUCCAAGUAAUGAACACACUGGAGAAAGUCAGACAGU
RNAcentral lists this long non-coding RNA (665 nucleotides) under Homo sapiens (human). RNAcentral describes it as "MYO3B antisense RNA 1". Lineage: Eukaryota; Metazoa; Chordata; Mammalia; Primates; Hominidae. The record is from RNAcentral.